CUUGAUUUUAAGCUCAUUCUAAGCCAUAAAGGGUGUGUUUUGAUAUCAAAUUUAAUUAUGAAAAUAACGGUUUUCAAACCGUUAUCACCUCUUAGCAAGCGCUCUUUUAACGCCAUUAGCUUGACCUAGUAAAGCUCAAACACCCAUCAGUAAGUGUUGAUAUUCUCCUUGCUUGAUAUUUUUUCUUUUUCUUUUUUCUACUGAAUUUCUUCAAAAAUUUGAUAAAACCAAGCACCUGUUUCCAUGUCUCAAUCAUAGGAACUUUAAUCCCCAAUUUCUUGAAGAUCUCCAUAAUACGCUUAAAUUCCUUCUCCUUCCUAUGAUACUUCUUUGGAUGAGGAAGGGUUUUUUCAUAUGAUUCCUUCUUCUUUCCUCUCAUCCUCUUUUUCUUACUUUUCUUCUUCCUCACUUUUUUUUUUCUUUUCUCUCAACCACUUCUCUUUCUUUCUCUUCAUGUUUAUCUUUCUCACCCAACCUUUAUGUUUCUUUUUCCUCUAUCUUUUCCUCAUCUCUCUCUAUCUUUUCCUCAUCAACAACCUUGUCACUUCCAGUGAUAGUGGCUUGACAUUCCUCCCUAGGGUUAACUUCAGUAUCAACCCCAGAAUCUUCCAGUUUGUAAAUUAACCCAGAAUCUUCUAUUUCUUAAUUAAGCGACUAAGCUGCAUCUCAAUCCUUUUGGAUGACGCUUCAAUGCUUUUUUGAGUGGAAAUGGUAUUUUGCCAUUGAUAGAGAGUGUUGUUGCUACCAUUGUUGUUGUUGUAACUCCUCAAAUUGUUCGGCAGCUUGCCAAAAUUGACUUUGAUCCAUGCUCGAAUGAGGUUCCCAC
This 826-nucleotide long non-coding RNA is filed under the name Vigna radiata. RNAcentral describes it as "long non-coding RNA (VRAD_LNC008642)". Lineage: Eukaryota; Viridiplantae; Streptophyta; Magnoliopsida; Fabales; Fabaceae. The record is from RNAcentral.